GGUUUUCGGACCAAGAGACCGGCGCACGGGUGCGUAACGCGUAUACAAUCUACCUUCUACAGAGGGAUAGCCCAGAGAAAUUUGGAUUAAUACCUCAUAGUAUUACGACUCGGCAUCGAGAUGUAAUUAAAGUCACAACGGUAAAAGAUGAGUAUGCGUCCCAUUAGCUAGUUGGUAAGGUAACGGCUUACCAAGGCAACGAUGGGUAGGGGUCCUGAGAGGGAGAUCCCCCACACUGGUACUGAGACACGGACCAGACUCCUACGGGAGGCAGCAGUGAGGAAUAUUGGUCAAUGGGCGCAAGCCUGAACCAGCCAUGCCGCGUGCAGGAUGAAGCAUCUAUGGUGUGUAAACUGCUUUUGUACAGGAAGAAACACUCGGUCGUGACCGAGCUUGACGGUACUGUAAGAAUAAGGACCGGCUAACUCCGUGCCAGCAGCCGCGGUAAUACGGAGGGUCCAAGCGUUAUCCGGAAUCAUUGGGUUUAAAGGGUCCGUAGGCGGUUUAGUAAGUCAGUGGUGAAAGCCCAUCGCUCAACGGUGGAACGGCCAUUGAUACUGCUAAACUUGAAUUGUUGGGAAGUAACUAGAAUAUGUAGUGUAGCGGUGAAAUGCUUAGAUAUUACAUGGAAUACCAAUUGCGAAGGCAGGUUACUAUCAACACAUUGACGCUGAUGGACGAAAGCGUGGGUAGCGAACAGG
RNAcentral lists this ribosomal RNA (701 nucleotides) under uncultured bacterium. Its description in RNAcentral is "bacterial SSU rRNA". It matches the Rfam family "Bacterial small subunit ribosomal RNA", at positions 75 to 776 of the family's 1533-position model. The record is from RNAcentral.